GUGGGGAAUAUUGGACAAUGGGCGAAAGCCUGAUCCAGCCAUGCCGCGUGUGUGAAGAAGGUCUUCGGAUUGUAAAGCACUUUAAGUUGGGAGGAAGGGCAGUAAGUUAAUACCUUGCUGUUUUGACGUUACCGACAGAAUAAGCACCGGCUAACUUCGUGCCAGCAGCCGCGGUAAUACGAAGGGUGCAAGCGUUAAUCGGAAUUACUGGGCGUAAAGCGCGCGUAGGUGGUUCAGCAAGUUGGAGGUGAAAUCCCCGGGCUCAACCUGGGAACUGCCUCCAAAACUGCAUGACUAGAGUACGGUAGAGGGUAGUGGAAUUUCCUGUGUAGCGGUGAAAUGCGUAGAUAUAGGAAGGAACACCAGUGGCGAAGGCGACUACCUGGACUGAUACUGACACUGAGGUGCGAAAGCGUGGGGAGCAAACAGGAUUAGAAACCCGGGUAGUCC
Molecule: ribosomal RNA, 450 nt
Filed under: uncultured bacterium
Lineage: Bacteria
Description: bacterial SSU rRNA
Rfam family: Bacterial small subunit ribosomal RNA
Source: RNAcentral